UCCUGGCACAGAUACAGGAUGGCGGCCAU
RNAcentral lists this non-coding RNA (29 nucleotides) under Rattus norvegicus (Norway rat). The record is from RNAcentral. Lineage: Eukaryota; Metazoa; Chordata; Mammalia; Rodentia; Muridae.